AUGGCGGGCAAAGAAAUCGAGAUCGAGGCUGUGAAGCAGAUGAAGAUCAUCACGAGGCAAUUGGAGGCCUUCACACACCAACGAGCGGAGGACCAGCCGCUCCUUGCCGAGCUGGUUCGGGUUCCGGCGUUCCGCACUUCCAGAAGCUCGACUUCCCAACAUAUGAUGGCUCGGUCGAUCCUCUUGGUUGGCUCAAUAGGCGCGAGCACAGACGAGGCCGACAGCGUCUGGACUGCAGCCUACCACCUCAUCAAUGAUGCUCACUUCCGGUACUUACAGCUUGAGUGUGAUUUCGGCAUCACCGACAUGGUAGCAGUUGAAGGAGGCUUGCCACGUUCAGUUUAG
Molecule: ribosomal RNA, 345 nt
Filed under: Triticum aestivum (bread wheat)
Lineage: Eukaryota; Viridiplantae; Streptophyta; Magnoliopsida; Poales; Poaceae
Description: partial small subunit ribosomal RNA
Source: RNAcentral